CGAGCGGACAGAAGGGAGCUUGCUCCCGGAUGUUAGCGGCGGACGGGUGAGUAACACGUGGGUAACCUGCCUGUAAGACUGGGAUAACUCCGGGAAACCGGAGCUAAUACCGGAUAGUUCCUUGAACCGCAUGGUUCAAGGAUGAAAGACGGUUUCGGCUGUCACUUACAGAUGGACCCGCGGCGCAUUAGCUAGUUGGUGGGGUAAUGGCUCACCAAGGCGACGAUGCGUAGCCGACCUGAGAGGGUGAUCGGCCACACUGGGACUGAGACACGGCCCAGACUCCUACGGGAGGCAGCAGUAGGGAAUCUUCCGCAAUGGACGAAAGUCUGACGGAGCAACGCCGCGUGAGUGAUGAAGGUUUUCGGAUCGUAAAGCUCUGUUGUUAGGGAAGAACAAGUGCGAGAGUAACUGCUCGCACCUUGACGGUACCUAACCAGAAAGCCACGGCUAACUACGUGCCAGCAGCCGCGGUAAUACGUAGGUGGCAAGCGUUGUCCGGAAUUAUUGGGCGUAAAGGGCUCGCAGGCGGUUUCUUAAGUCUGAUGUGAAAGCCCCCGGCUCAACCGGGGAGGGUCAUUGGAAACUGGGAAACUUGAGUGCAGAAGAGGAGAGUGGAAUUCCACGUGUAGCGGUGAAAUGCGUAGAGAUGUGGAGGAACACCAGUGGCGAAGGCGACUCUCUGGUCUGUAACUGACGCUGAGGAGCGAAAGCGUGGGGAGCGAACAGGAUUAGAUACCCUGGUAGUCCACGCCGUAAACGAUGAGUGCUAAGUGUU
RNAcentral lists this ribosomal RNA (778 nucleotides) under Bacillus safensis. Its description in RNAcentral is "bacterial SSU rRNA". It matches the Rfam family "Bacterial small subunit ribosomal RNA", at positions 63 to 824 of the family's 1533-position model. Lineage: Bacteria; Bacillati; Bacillota; Bacilli; Caryophanales; Bacillaceae. The record is from RNAcentral.